This is a long non-coding RNA of Xyrauchen texanus (razorback sucker), 365 nucleotides long. RefSeq lists it as uncharacterized. The transcript is spliced from 3 exons. NCBI's taxonomy places the organism in Eukaryota, Metazoa, Chordata, Actinopteri, Cypriniformes, Catostomidae. The record is from RefSeq and is a predicted model, not a curated record.
AGCUUCAGCAUCUGUUUGUUGGUAUUGAUAGAUAUUUAGUCAGUACACUAGAGGAGAUUAAGGACAGGCUGACUAUGCUGGAGAGAACAGUGGCAAAUAUCUCUCGAUCAAGCACAAAAGAGGUCACAUUGCCAGAUGACGUCAUAUUACCCCUCCAAAACUACCAGGACAUGGAUAUCUUGGAGCAAAAAUGGAAGAUCAUCAAUGUCGGAAAGACUUGACUGCCUAUCUAGGAACCAUUGGUGGGUGUAAUGUCCAGGUAGCAACUAGGAGAAUAUUGACAACAUUGAUUGGCCAUUCUUUAGCCACUCAAUUGAACUGGAAUGGCUCAAACCAAAAGAGACCUUUUCAGAACCUGAGUCUAA